Molecule: RNase P RNA, 375 nt
Filed under: Sphingomonas cavernae
Lineage: Bacteria; Pseudomonadati; Pseudomonadota; Alphaproteobacteria; Sphingomonadales; Sphingomonadaceae
Description: Bacterial RNase P class A
Rfam family: Bacterial RNase P class A
About the family: Ribonuclease P (RNase P) is a ubiquitous endoribonuclease, found in archaea, bacteria and eukarya as well as chloroplasts and mitochondria. Its best characterised activity is the generation of mature 5'-ends of tRNAs by cleaving the 5'-leader elements of precursor-tRNAs.
Source: Rfam by way of RNAcentral
CCAGAGGGUCGGGCGGCCGCGGCUCCUGCUAUGCAGGGGGCGAGGAAAGUCCGGGCUCCACGGAAAAACGGUGCCGGGUAACGCCCGGCGGGGUGCGCAAGCGCUUCAGGGACAGUGCCACAGAGAGCAGACCGCCACGCUUCGGCGCGGCAAGGGUGAAAGGGUGCGGUAAGAGCGCACCGCGGGACCGGCAACGGAACCGGCAUGGUAAACCCCACCGGGAGCAAGACCGAAUAGGGGCGGCACAUGGGCCUUUUUCCGGCCCGUCGCCCGGGUUGGUUGCUUGAGGCGCGGAGCAAUCCGCGUCCUAGAGGAAUGGCCGCACAGCCCGCGCAAGCGGGUGGACUGAACCCGGCUUACAGACCCUCUGGCAUU